CAAUGGGCGGGGCUGAGAGCUGGGAGCUCCACCCCCACUUUGGUUAGGCUCACUCAGUCUAAACCGCAGCCCCCGAAAUUGGGAGGAAAACAGCUGUGCUGAAUUAACUAGGGAUCUGGGGCCGACCAUUUGAAAGUCUGCUCUUCUUCCAAAGAGAGUUUGGGGCCUUGCCUGCUGGACUCUUACAUGAUGGGGUCUCGCCAUGUCACCCACGCUGGUCUUGAACUCCUGGGCUCAAGCGAUCCUCCUGCCCCAGCCUUCCAAAGUACUGGGAUUACAGGUAUGGAACAGGCUGACAGAGCUGGAUCCAAAGGGCUCAGAAUGGAGCAACCAAGGUGUAUUCACCUGAUGCUUUGGUCUCCCUAAGCUCUUCCAUAGAAACGAUCAUAUAUCACCUCGGCAAUUGUUUUACGAUUUCUCACUGUGUUUCUCAGAAUGGUCUCAGACUCCUGGCCUCAAGCGAUCCUUCUGCCUGAGCCUCCCAAAGUGCCGGGAUUACAGGCAUGAACCACUGCACUCAGCCUGUUUUCAACCUUAUAUAAAUGGAAUCCUACUGUAUGUGCUUUUUGAUAUCUGGGCUCCUUUGCUCUAUAUUAUGUCUGUGAGAUUAAUAAACUUGUUUGUUC
Molecule: long non-coding RNA, 626 nt
Filed under: Homo sapiens (human)
Lineage: Eukaryota; Metazoa; Chordata; Mammalia; Primates; Hominidae
Description: HSALNT0302557
Source: RNAcentral